This 453-nucleotide long non-coding RNA is filed under the name Carica papaya (papaya). Its description in RNAcentral is "long non-coding RNA (CPAP_LNC000380)". The record is from RNAcentral. Lineage: Eukaryota; Viridiplantae; Streptophyta; Magnoliopsida; Brassicales; Caricaceae.
AGGAAUUUUAGGUUUUUAUAUUGAGAAAACUCAAUAACUAGGAGAUCUAUGAAUGUGAAAAUUUUUUAAGCACUCUAUCCCUUGUGGUUCUAGACAAGAGUAAUAAUAACCCUCAAUGGUGUCUAACAGAGAAUGGAUCUUUUUACGGUCAGAUCAUUAUAUAAGUAGUUGUUCAAACAUGAAAACAAUGGUACUAGAUUCCUGAUCAAACAAAUUUUAGCAGGUUAAAGUUCCACCCUGUGGUUAGGAUCUACUUUUGACAUGUAUUUCACCAGUACUAAACUUUAAUAAAAAAAAUUAAUUUAUAAAUAAUUAUGGUAGAAAUUUAGACAGAAAAGUAAUUUUGAAUGAGAAAAUUAUAAAAUAUGGGGAAAGAAUCUGGAAAUAAUAAAUAGUAAAGACAAAAAAGAAAAUUAGUGAAAGAACGAGAAAGAGAGCAAGAGAGAGAAAGAU